GAACGCCCCGCAAGGGGAGUGGCAGACGGGUGAGUAACGCGUGGGAAAAACCAUUCCUGCGGAAUAGCUCCGGGAAACUGGAAUUAAUACCGCAUACGCCCUACGGGGGAAAGAUUUAUCGGGGAAGGAUUGGCCCGCGUUGGAUUAGCUAGUUGGUGGGGUAAAGGCCUACCAGGGCGACGAUCCAUAGCUGGUCUGAGAGGAUGAUCAGCCACAUUGGGACUGAGACACGGCCCAAACUCCUACGGGAGGCAGCAAUGGGAAUAUUGAGACAAUGGGCGCAAGCCUGAUCCAGCCAUGCCGCGUGAGUGGAGAAGGCCUUAAGGUUGUAAUGCUCUUUCACCGCAGAAAAUCAUGACGAUAUCCGGAGAAUAAGCCCCGGCUAACUUCC
Molecule: ribosomal RNA, 391 nt
Filed under: Rhizobium sp.
Lineage: Bacteria; Pseudomonadati; Pseudomonadota; Alphaproteobacteria; Hyphomicrobiales; Rhizobiaceae
Description: bacterial SSU rRNA
Rfam family: Bacterial small subunit ribosomal RNA
Source: RNAcentral